AUACUUACCUGGCAGGGGAAAUACUAUGAUUAUUAAAGUAGUUUUGCAGAGCAAGAUUUAUUUAUGGCGCUCUGCCUGUGGUGACAGAUGAGAUUUUUCCAAAUGUAGAAAGCUCAGUGGCACAAUUGGUAGGAGUGGGGUUAAAAGAAGGAAAAGUAAUAUUCCUUA
This 168-nucleotide small nuclear RNA is filed under the name Chinchilla lanigera (long-tailed chinchilla). Its description in RNAcentral is "U1 spliceosomal RNA (ENSCLAG00000020001.1)". It matches the Rfam family "U1 spliceosomal RNA". From Rfam's summary of the family: U1 is a small nuclear RNA (snRNA) component of the spliceosome (involved in pre-mRNA splicing). Its 5' end forms complementary base pairs with the 5' splice junction, thus defining the 5' donor site of an intron. There are significant differences in sequence and secondary structure between metazoan and yeast U1 snRNAs, the latter being much longer (568 nucleotides as compared to 164 nucleotides in human). Lineage: Eukaryota; Metazoa; Chordata; Mammalia; Rodentia; Chinchillidae. The record is from RNAcentral.